Molecule: ribosomal RNA, 459 nt
Filed under: uncultured bacterium
Lineage: Bacteria
Description: partial 16S ribosomal RNA
Rfam family: Bacterial small subunit ribosomal RNA
Source: RNAcentral
CCUACGGGUGGCAGCAGUGAGGAAUAUUGGUCAAUGGCCGAGAGGCUGAACCAGCCAAGUCGCGUGAGGGAAGACGGCCCUACGGGUUGUAAACCUCUUUUGUCAAGGGACAAAAUCAGGCUCGAGAGCCUGACCGAGGGUACUUGAAGAAAAAGCAUCGGCUAACUCCGUGCCAGCAGCCGCGGUAAUACGGAGGAUGCGAGCGUUAUCCGGAUUUAUUGGGUUUAAAGGGUGCGUAGGCGGACUGUUAAGUCAGCGGUAAAAGCCCGGGGCUCAACCCCGGCGAGCCGUUGAAACUGGCUGUCUUGAGAUGUCGAGAGGUAUGCGGAAUGCGCAGUGUAGCGGUGAAAUGCUUAGAUAUUGCGCAGAACUCCGAUUGCGAAGGCAGCAUACCGGCGGCGAUCUGACGCUGAGGCACGAAAGCGUGGGUAUCGAACAGGAUUAGAUACCCGAGUAGUC